Molecule: microRNA precursor, 57 nt
Organism: Cricetulus griseus (Chinese hamster)
Lineage: Eukaryota; Metazoa; Chordata; Mammalia; Rodentia; Cricetidae
Source: Ensembl
AGGCUCCGCUCUGGCUGGCUUCCUGGAAAGGGAGGAGGGGGCAGGCGGGAGAACCGC